Molecule: ribosomal RNA, 1146 nt
Filed under: Staphylococcus aureus
Lineage: Bacteria; Bacillati; Bacillota; Bacilli; Caryophanales; Staphylococcaceae
Description: partial 23S ribosomal RNA
Rfam family: Bacterial large subunit ribosomal RNA
Source: RNAcentral
UCGAUUCCCUUAGUAGCGGCGAGCGAAACGGGAAGAGCCCAAACCAACAAGCUUGCUUGUUGGGGUUGUAGGACACUCUAUACGGAGUUACAAAGGACGACAUUAGACGAAUCAUCUGGAAAGAUGAAUCAAAGAAGGUAAUAAUCCUGUAGUCGAAAAUGUUGUCUCUCUUGAGUGGAUCCUGAGUACGACGGAGCACGUGAAAUUCCGUCGGAAUCUGGGAGGACCAUCUCCUAAGGCUAAAUACUCUCUAGUGACCGAUAGUGAACCAGUACCGUGAGGGAAAGGUGAAAAGCACCCCGGAAGGGGAGUGAAAUAGAACCUGAAACCGUGUGCUUACAAGUAGUCAGAGCCCGUUAAUGGGUGAUGGCGUGCCUUUUGUAGAAUGAACCGGCGAGUUACGAUUUGAUGCAAGGUUAAGCAGUAAAUGUGGAGCCGUAGCGAAAGCGAGUCUGAAUAGGGCGUUUAGUAUUUGGUCGUAGACCCGAAACCAGGUGAUCUACCCUUGGUCAGGUUGAAGUUCAGGUAACACUGAAUGGAGGACCGAACCGACUUACGUUGAAAAGUGAGCGGAUGAACUGAGGGUAGCGGAGAAAUUCCAAUCGAACCUGGAGAUAGCUGGUUCUCUCCGAAAUAGCUUUAGGGCUAGCCUCAAGUGAUGAUUAUUGGAGGUAGAGCACUGUUUGGACGAGGGGCCCCUCUCGGGUUACCGAAUUCAGACAAACUCCGAAUGCCAAUUAAUUUAACUUGGGAGUCAGAACAUGGGUGAUAAGGUCCGUGUUCGAAAGGGAAACAGCCCAGACCACCAGCUAAGGUCCCAAAAUAUAUGUUAAGUGGAAAAGGAUGUGGCGUUGCCCAGACAACUAGGAUGUUGGCUUAGAAGCAGCCAUCAUUUAAAGAGUGCGUAAUAGCUCACUAGUCGAGUGACACUGCGCCGAAAAUGUACCGGGGCUAAACAUAUUACCGAAGCUGUGGAUUGUCCUUUGGACAAUGGUAGGAGAGCGUUCUAAGGGCGUUGAAGCAUGAUCGUAAGGACAUGUGGAGCGCUUAGAAGUGAGAAUGCCGGUGUGAGUAGCGAAAGACGGGUGAGAAUCCCGUCCACCGAUUGACUAAGGUUUCCAGAGGAAGGCUCGUCCGCUCUGGGUU